This 200-nucleotide unclassified non-coding RNA is filed under the name soil metagenome. Its description in RNAcentral is "partial contains internal transcribed spacer 2 and large subunit ribosomal RNA". The record is from RNAcentral.
GGUCACUUGAAAUGCAGGUGCGGCUGGACACAUCUUCUGAGCUAUAAGCAUUACUUAUUUAGUCCCGUCAGACGGAUUAUUUCUACUGCUACAGCUAAUAUAAAGGUCGAUUGUCCGUUUGCCCGACUGAUGCAGAAAAAACAAAGAGAGAUCUUUGUUCACUCGAUCUCAAAUCAAGUAAGACUACCCGCUGAACUUAA